CUCCUGUCUCUGAAAACCAGUCUCUCAAGGCCAGAGAAAAAUAAUAAUUCAAUGGGAAAAGUCAGCUACAGAAACAAUCAGUAAGUCUAGGAUAUGGAACUCUGAGGUAGAAGAAGGCCUAUCCAAAACAAUUUGAGGAAGUAAAAUGCAAGACCUUAGGAUUUGUAUUAAAAAAAGAUAAAAGAGGGAAGUUUGUACCCCAAGGGAAGCUUGGACUUUCGGUAUGGAGAGGGGGAAAGAGAGGAUAAUCCCCCUUCCACAAAUUGGGGUUCAGGGGAGACAGCUGAUGUUUAGGGUUGGCUCAGACAGAGGAGAGAGAGUUUGAAGAUUUUCCUCUUUCUGCCUUCCUUCCUCAGCUAAAGCUGCUCUCCCAGAUUCGCUCUUGUCCCUUUUGUCCCUCCUCCACUACUCAAGAUCAAAGGGUCUCCCCUUGAUCUGUUCACUCACCCUCAGCUUGGGGAACAGAUAACUUUUAAUGUCAAAUCAGUCAGGUAAUACAAAAGGAAUAAUGGGCAGGGAAGAAUGGGAAAAGGAAUGUGGGAAAAGUCAGUCCUUGUCUCUAUCUAAACCCUUUUCCCCUCCCUGCUCAAAUUUGGAGGUAACUCAGGCCUUGGCAGCCUGAGCCUCCUGAGAGAAAGUCAGGUUGACUUACCCCUGGGCAACAGGAGCUGAGGUAAAGUCUGCUCAGGCUUCUCUUCCAAAAGUCCUUUCAAUUGGGAAGUGUUAGGGGAAAAGAUUUCCAGUCACCAGCAGGAAGAGUGGGUAACCCUCAGGAGAAAGUCUUUUUCCCAACUUCUCUCUUCGGCUUCUCAAGACUGAGAGACCCUCACUGCUCUCCCAGCCAGAGUCUUCUUCUCCUCUGGAAUCCACUCCUGGGGCCCCUCCCCCAUCGAGGCACCAGCAUCCAAGGAGGUCCCCUCAUCUUGGAGCAGACCUUGCUCGUGGCUGGAAGCAAAGCUAGAUUUAAUCUUCUGGGAAGGCCCUUUGGCUGAGGCCUCUGAACUCCCCCUGUCUCAGGCCAGAUUGGAGCAGAGAUCUUUCCCUUUCUCUCUCUCUCUCCCUCAUUCUUAAUUUCUUCCUUCUAUUGUAAAUAAACCACCAUAAAAUUCUAUUUUGACUUGAACA
This 1125-nucleotide long non-coding RNA is filed under the name Monodelphis domestica (gray short-tailed opossum). RNAcentral's name for it is "lncRNA (ENSMODG00000046098.1)". The record is from RNAcentral. Lineage: Eukaryota; Metazoa; Chordata; Mammalia; Didelphimorphia; Didelphidae.